Molecule: long non-coding RNA, 216 nt
Filed under: Brassica napus (rape)
Lineage: Eukaryota; Viridiplantae; Streptophyta; Magnoliopsida; Brassicales; Brassicaceae
Description: long non-coding RNA (BNAP_LNC017502)
Source: RNAcentral
AAAGCUUUGUAAGCGCUCUGAAAAAGAGGUAGAUGGCAUGUGUAACCCUCAUAUCUUAUCUCCAGCCAAUCUAAACGAUAGCAAGGAUCUCCUCAUUUGUAUGUAUUAAUAACACUUCUUGCAUUGUUUUUUUAUGGUUGUUCGUAUUGGAUACAUAGUUUUUGUGUUUUCUUUUAAUUCGGAGUAUAAUACGUGUGUAUUCCCAUCAAGCACAUC